CCUACGGGAGGCAGCAGUGGGGAAUAUUGGACAAUGGGCGAAAGCCUGAUCCAGCAAUUCCGCGUGUGUGAAGAAGGCCUUCGGGUUGUAAAGCACUUUAGUUGGGGAAGAAACAGCUUGGCCACACCAAGCCUUGACGGUACCCAAAGAAUAAGCACCGGCUAACUCUGUGCCAGCAGCCGCGGUAAUACAGAGGGUGCAAGCGUUAAUCGGAUUUACUGGGCGUAAAGGGUGCGUAGGUGGUUUUGUAAGUCGGAUGUGAAAGCCUGGGGCUCAACCUCAGAAUUGCACUCGAUACUGCAAGACUAGAGUUCGGUAGAGGGCGGCGGAAUUCCCGGUGUAGCGGUGAAAUGCGUAGAUAUCGGGAGGAACAUCAAUGGCGAAGGCAGCCGCCUGGGCCUGAACUGACACUGAGGCACGAAAGCGUGGGUAGCAAACAGGAUUAGAUACCCUGGUAGUCCACGCUGUAAACGAUGAGAACUUGACGUUGGUUCGUUUUACGAAUCGGUGUCGCAGCUAACGCGAUAAGUUCUCCGCCUGGGGAGUACGGCCGCAAGGUUGAAACUUAAAUGAAUUGACGG
Molecule: ribosomal RNA, 581 nt
Filed under: uncultured bacterium
Lineage: Bacteria
Description: bacterial SSU rRNA
Rfam family: Bacterial small subunit ribosomal RNA
Source: RNAcentral